UACGGAGGGUGCAAGCGUUAUCCGGAUUUACUGGGUUUAAAGGGUGCGUAGGCGAGUCUUUAAGUCAGUGGUGAAAGCUCCGAGCUUAACUCGGAAACUGCCAUUGAUACUAUUGGUCUUGAAUUCGGUCGAGGUUGGCGGAAUGUGUCGUGUAGCGGUGAAAUGCUUAGAUAUGACACAGAACACCGAUUGCGAAGGCAGCUAGCUAGACCGACAUUGACGCUGAGGCACGAAAGCGUGGGGAUCAAACAGG
RNAcentral lists this ribosomal RNA (253 nucleotides) under uncultured bacterium. RNAcentral's name for it is "partial 16S ribosomal RNA". It matches the Rfam family "Bacterial small subunit ribosomal RNA", at positions 524 to 776 of the family's 1533-position model. The record is from RNAcentral.